GAUGAACGCUGGCGGCGUGCCUAAUACAUGCAAGUCGAGCGAAUGGAUUAAGAGCUUGCUCUUAUGAAGUUAGCGGCGGACGGGUGAGUAACACGUGGGUAACCUGCCCAUAAGACUGGGAUAACUCCGGGAAACCGGGGCUAAUACCGGAUAACAUUUUGAACCGCGUGGUUCGAAAUUGAAAGGCGGCUUCGGCUGUCACUUAUGGAUGGACCCGCGUCGCAUUAGCUAGUUGGUGAGGUAACGGCUCACCAAGGCAACGAUGCGUAGCCGCCCGGAGAGGGUGAUCGGCCACACGGGGACUGAGACACGGCCCAGACUCCUACGGGAGGCAGCAGUAGGGAAUCUUCCGCAAUGGACGAAAGUCUGACGGAGCAACGCCGCGUGAGUGAUGAAGGCUUUCGGGUCGUAAAACUCUGUUGUUAGGGAAGAACAAGUGCUAGUUGAAUAAGCUGGCACCUUGACGGUACCUAACCAGAAAGCCACGGCUAACUACGUGCCAGCCGCCGCCGUAA
RNAcentral lists this ribosomal RNA (515 nucleotides) under uncultured bacterium. RNAcentral's name for it is "partial 16S ribosomal RNA". It matches the Rfam family "Bacterial small subunit ribosomal RNA", at positions 28 to 523 of the family's 1533-position model. The record is from RNAcentral.